CCCUUAGAUGUUCUGGGCCGCACGCGUGCUACACUGAGUGGAUCAGCGGGUCAGGUUGCGCGAAAGUGUUUCCUAAUCUUUAAAUCCGCUCGUGAUGGGGAUUGACGGUUGCAAUUUUCUGUCAUGAACGAGGAAUACCUUGUAAGCGCGGGUCAUCAUCCCGCGCUGAAUACGUCCCUGCCCUUUGUACACACCGCCCGUCGCUCCUACCGAUUGAGUGGUCCGGUGAGGCUUUGGGAUCUGAGCAAAGAGAGCGUUUCGCUCGUUUUGCCCGGAAAACUCAGUCGAACCUUAUCAUUUAGAGGAAGGAGAAGUCGUAACA
This 322-nucleotide ribosomal RNA is filed under the name uncultured eukaryote. RNAcentral describes it as "partial 18S ribosomal RNA". It matches the Rfam family "Eukaryotic small subunit ribosomal RNA", at positions 1470 to 1796 of the family's 1831-position model. The record is from RNAcentral.